This 225-nucleotide unclassified non-coding RNA is filed under the name Hevea brasiliensis (rubber tree). The record is from RNAcentral. Lineage: Eukaryota; Viridiplantae; Streptophyta; Magnoliopsida; Malpighiales; Euphorbiaceae.
AUUUGUGGGAAUCUGAACCUCAUGGACUUCACCAUUACAAUGAAGUUGCUGGUGAGUUCCAACAAUUCCAAGUUCUCUUGCAAAGAUUCUUGGAGAAUGAAGCUUUCGAAGGCCCAAGAGUCGAGAAUUACGUCAAGCAUCGAUGCAUCGCUCGUAAUCUUCUUCAAGUUCCAGUCAUCAGAGAGGAUAAAAAGAAGGAUAGAAGGAAAGGAAGAAGAGAGAAAG